ACAUGGUAAUGAUCAGAAUCAUGGAGGCAAAGCUCUGUCCAAAAAUGUUCAUUUUGUUUUGUUUUGUUUUGUUUUCUUGUUUUUAACAUUUCCUUCAUCCUGGUGAAAUAUCCUGGAAAUUCAUAGAUCUGGGUUUGGUCAUUUCAAAGCUCACCAUGCCCAGUGGCCAUUUCAGUUACUGCCCUGACAUCCCUGAGGCUACCAUACUCUCAAAACCAAAUCAAUGCCAGUGAUCUAACAUAGGAUUCUUUCUUAUUUAUGAGUUUUGUUUAGAUGGAUAUUUUUGCAGAGCAUAAAAAAUUAAAUGACAUUUAGUUAUCCAUUGAAUGUAUCACCCUGACUUAAAAAAAAAUCCUUAAAUCAAAACUUUUCAAAAAAUCUGGGCUAUGGAGUCACUCCCUCUGUGGAGCGAGAGCCCAGUCUUUUCUGGUACUAAGGCCACAGAGGCAAUUUCCAGUAGCAUUUUUAUAUCUUCUCUAAGUUUCUUUUCCUUUUCUGUCUGUAUCUGUUUUUCUCUGACUGCCUAUAUCUUACUUUGUAUACCCAUACAUAAAUUAUUUUCCCAUCUUCUCUCUUCCCCUUUUUUUCUGAUUUGUUUUCUCUCUUGCAAGAAACUCUGAAAUAACCUUCAGAACACAAAAAACUGGAGGUUCUAUACCUACAGAGUCAUUAUCAUUAUUGUGAUUACCAUUGUUACUGUUGUUGGUGUUUUUCCUCUUUUUAUUGUGUAGCAAUAUCCAUAUUCACUUCUGAUGAGGCAAACCUGUUUACUAUAAACCAAUGUCCUCCCUAAAGGAGUCAGUUUCAUUUUCACUUCUCACAUCACCAGUUGUAUCGCAACCCAUCUUACAACCAUUGCCAUGUUUUCAGGCUUCCUUGCCAUAAAUGUUUUCUGGGCAAAUAAUGGCAAAGCAACAAUUCCAGAAUGCUGUCUAGAUCUGCUUUCUCCCACCCUCAGCAUUUGACCCUCCUCAUUCGCCUGAGCCCCCAGGGUUAGGAUUUCUUGGAAAAACUUGUAUACUGUACCUGAUGGAAUGCCCAUUCUUCCUAACUACUUAGCACAAGUGCUUGCUCAUCGUAAGUGAUCUGAGGGCCACUAAUUCCUGAAGACUGACAAAGAGACACGAAGAGACUACCCUCUUAAGAUGGGGAUGCAUGGUUCUUCAUGCAGUGCUCUUGGCCACCGAGGUCCUUCAUCCAUGCCAUUGCAUGGAUGAAUACGUUUGAUGUUGGCAGUUAAAAUGGGAUGGGAGUGUCACCCUGCAGGAAGUAAGAAAAGAGGAUGGCAGGAUCUCUGAUCAGGGAGCUGGUCAAAGCAGGGCUGGAAAGCUUCUGUGCUUAACAAAAUGUGCGUGCUGUCCCCAAGUAAAUGCUCAUCCCUAGGUUUAGAGCUGACCUGGGUUUUGGGGAGUUUGUAUUUUUAAGGAAUUAAAUACUCAUGAGUUAAAAUACUCAUGAUUGCAAAGAAGGUCUGGAUUGCCUGAAAAAUAAAUUAAUUCUAAGAAGCUAAUAUGAGUUUCUCAUCAUCCCUUAGCUCUUCCUUUUCCCUCCUUUUGUCCUCACUCAACCCCAGACCCUGUGUAAUAGGAACAUUAAUUUUUAAAGACCCACAGAUCAAUAGCCACACUCUUCCACUCUACACCUUUUAUUGACACCAAGUUAUCAUCCCAGAACUAAUGAAGCAAGUCCAGAUGCUAGACGUGGCCCCUUAAUAUCGAGCAAUUUGAUUGCAAUCCUGCUUGUUUUUGUAAGUUAUCUCAACUUUAUUCUUGUGAAAUUGCAAAGGAAGAUCAAUAAAAAGACUUCAUAUGAAUGU
RNAcentral lists this long non-coding RNA (1816 nucleotides) under Homo sapiens (human). RNAcentral describes it as "non-protein coding lnc-TBC1D9-4:1". Lineage: Eukaryota; Metazoa; Chordata; Mammalia; Primates; Hominidae. The record is from RNAcentral.